This 321-nucleotide long non-coding RNA is filed under the name Lathyrus oleraceus (garden pea). Its description in RNAcentral is "Pisum sativum (pea) long non-coding RNA (PSAT_LNC010029)". Lineage: Eukaryota; Viridiplantae; Streptophyta; Magnoliopsida; Fabales; Fabaceae. The record is from RNAcentral.
UAAUAUUUACGUAAUUAUUGUGGUUAGUCGGAAAUUAGUCGAAAGUCGUAGAAAUUAUUAUAAGAAAUAAUAAUAUAAUUGUGGUGUUAUUUGAGUAAGUGGGCUUAUCAUUGUGUGCUAUUUAGUAAAAUGAGAGGUGUUAUAUUAGGCCAUUAGAGAUUAGGAUAUUUAGUUAAUUUAAUAAAGAGAAAAUAAAAGAAGGGAUAGAAAAAAAAAGAAACAGUAGUGGAGAGAAGUUAGCAGAAGAGGAAAUUGAGAACUGUGGUACGAACGAGAGGGAAGGAGAAGAAAACUUCUGGAAUCCGAUUCUUAGAGCAACCU